This is an RNA transcript of Prosopis cineraria, 1001 nucleotides long. It is a transcript of the gene named MADS-box protein JOINTLESS-like, with no coding region annotated. Lineage: Eukaryota; Viridiplantae; Streptophyta; Magnoliopsida; Fabales; Fabaceae. The transcript has 9 exons. The record is from RefSeq and is a predicted model, not a curated record.
CACAUGUCCACAUGCCUCCUCUCUCUCUCUCUCUCUCUGUUUGUUCGCUUAGGUGGGGUUCAUCUUCAUCACACCCUUACCUAGGCUUACUUUUCAGCUAGGGUUGAUUCCUGAUUCUUGGCCGGAAAUGACAAGGCAGAAGAUAGAAAUAAAGAAGAUCGAUAACAUAACAGCGAGGCAAGUAACGUUUUCAAAGAGAAGAAGAGGGCUAUUCAAGAAGGCUCAUGAACUUGCUACUCUCUGUGAUGCUGAGAUUGCUCUCAUAGUCUUUUCUGCUACUGGCAAGCUCUUUGAAUAUGGUAGCUCAAGUGUGCAGCAGGUUAUCGAAAGGCACAAUCAGCACUCAGAAAUUGAAAGAUUAUACCAUUCAUCCAUUUUGUAUGAAAAGGAAACCUUCAGCAUGCUCAGCAUGGAAGAAGCCAAUAAGGUUCAGGAACUGAGGAAGUUGAAGGGCGAAGAGCUUGAAGGAUUGAACACGAAUGAAUUACAGAAGCUUGAAGAACAAUUAGAAAAAGGUUUGAGCCGUGUUGUCAAAGCUAAGGAAGAAAUAAUUAUGAAAGAGAUCAAUGCGCUCAAGAGAAAGGGAAUCCAGCUGAUGGAGGAGAAUCAGAGAUUGAAACAGAUUGGUGGCAAGAAUCUGAAGAUGGAAAAUUUGUGUUUAGGUGACGAAAGUUGGACAAAAACAAGGUCAGUCAUCUGAGUCAGCAAUUAUCGGCAGCACAUCUGAUCCUCUUCAUGAGGAUGAUAGUUCAGACACCUCUCUCAGAUUGGGGUUGUCUUUGUUUAACUAAUACAUAAAAAAAAAAAAAGGAAGAUGUGAGGCAACAUUGAAAAUACGUGAAAAAAUUAAUUAACCGUUGUUGUGUACGGUACAAUUCCCCCAUUAUUAAUUCAUAGCAUGCAUGUUUUGCUUAAUAUAAGUAGGCUUUUUAUUAUAUAAAUGCGAGCAAUGAUAUGUAUAUAGUAUAUACACCUGAGAGAAUGGUGUUGCAUUUUGAAUA